AAUCUUGCGCAAUGGGCGAAAGCCUGACGCAGCCAUGCCGCGUGAAUGAUGAAGGUCUUAGGAUUGUAAAAUUCUUUCACCGGGGACGAUAAUGACGGUACCCGGAGAAGAAGCCCCGGCUAACUUCGUGCCAGCAGCCGCGGUAAUACGCAGGGGGCUAGCGUUGCUCGGAAUUACGGGGCGUAAAGGGCGCGUGGGCGGAUCGUGAAGUCAGAGGUGAAAUCCCAGAGCUCAACUCUGGAACUGCCUUUGAUACUGGGUGUCUUGAGUGUGAGAGAGGUAUGUGGAACUCCGAGUGUAGAGGUGAAAUUCGUAGAUAUUCGGAAGAACACCAGUGGCGAAGGCGACAUACUGGCUCAUUACUGACGCUGAGGCGCGAAAGCGUGGGGGGCAAACA
Molecule: ribosomal RNA, 397 nt
Filed under: uncultured bacterium
Lineage: Bacteria
Description: partial 16S ribosomal RNA
Rfam family: Bacterial small subunit ribosomal RNA
Source: RNAcentral